Molecule: long non-coding RNA, 558 nt
Organism: Mercenaria mercenaria
Lineage: Eukaryota; Metazoa; Mollusca; Bivalvia; Venerida; Veneridae
Exons: 3
Source: RefSeq, a predicted model, not a curated record
CAACUAUCAAAGUACCAAUUGCCGGAAAUUGUGGAGAGGAUACAGUUCUCAAGUGUAUUGUAACUGGGAGCAUUGAUUUUACUGGAUGGUUUGGAUUAGGCCGAAAUCUAGUUGCUAAUGGAAUUCCAAUUGGAGCAGAUGAUAACAACAAAUAUUCCGAAACAAGGGGAACGUCAACAUUCACAUUGACAAUACAUAACACUGACAUUUCUGAUGAGGGAACAUAUCGCUGCCGCAAUGGAUUUGAUGAGAGCCAACUUACCCUUCUCAACAUAGAAUGUAAAGCAUCAAAAGCUGUACUGACAGUGACCAGUGGAAAGAAAGUGGUAAUUACUGUAGAUAAACUAUAUCCGGCAUCCCCUUUAUUAACUGCUUCAUUUGAAAAAGAGAAUAGUCUUGUCACAGUGCCAGGAUCCAGCACCUGUUCCAGCAGUACACAGUACUCGGGUUACUACAAAUGUGCAUGGACUUCCAGUAACUCUCUAGCUGAUGGAUCGUACACGUACAGUCUUGUUGUCAAAACUAUUACAGAGGCUGCUAAACUAAACGGAUCUUUUA